GCUAUGCUACUGUUAUAUAGUGAGAGUAAAUAAUUUCAAUACAUGAAUUUCAUAUAUGCAAUGCAAACACAACUAUACAUUUAAUUUAUCAAUGCAAAUUGAUUAAGCUAUAUGAGAGUUAAUUUUAUUAGUUGUUGCUUAUUUACAUGCAAAGGCUAACUAUGACAUAAACCUCAUGAUGCAAUUUAUGGUUAUCAAAAUAUAUUUACACAAAUACUUUAGUGAUACCCAAACCUAUAAAAGAUAGAUGAAGAACCUAGAGUUUAUGAUAAUCAAGAUUAGAAAAGAAUCUCUAAGUUGUUUGGGACAAAAUAGAGAAAGAAAAACUAAUCUAAAUGAGUUGAAGACAAGGACAUGUUUGAUAAAAUCAUAACAUGUGAUAGAUGCAAAGGAAACCUGGAUUAGAAAUAAGAAACUUGGAUUAGAAAUCAAUACAAAAUGCUAGGAUUGAAUGGGAGUUGAAACGGUGAAGUUUUGGCUGUUAACAGAUACAAACUUCUAUGGAUCAUGGGAUACUGUAGAUGAAGAUGAAAAGGUGCACAAAGGGGUUCAGAAUGUAGAGUUGGAUGGAUUAUUGUCAAACAAUGUAUCAAAAGAUAGGGACUUCGGAAUACAGCUAAUCAAUGUUUCAACACAGAUAGCAUGUAACAGUGUUAACAGAUAGCAACUUCGGUUGAGAAUGCACUAGUGUAGAUGAUACAGAACUUGUGCAAGAAGUGCACUGAUGUCUAGAACAUUAUGUAGUAGAUAAUCUGCAGAAGGUUUGAGACUAAACAGAUCUAUGGAAUAUUAUACAAGAAUUUCGAAACAUGGCUAAUCCAGAAGUAGGAUGCUGUGAAUAGCAACUUCAGAUAAAGAUUAACUACUGAAUAUAAUUCAUAUGGGGCAUGCAAACUGUCUAAUCUGAAGAACACGACGUGAUCUAAUCAUAGCAAAAAGAAUCGGCUAAAUAGGACAUACGGUUGAUAAUCUACAAUCUACGGAAGUAGGCUAAUCAAAACAGACUGCAGCUCGAAAAACAGAACAAGAAGCUCACCGGAGAAGAUGAAGUUCGCCGGAGUUGAUGGGAUUCGGCAAAAAAGAGAUUUCCGAAGGCGAGGCUGUGGUGGAUGGUGUUCUAGGGUUCGAGAGGGAUCUACUGGUGGUGAUGGCUCGAGCUAAUUUGGGGUGAGGUGGUAGGAAUUGCUCGCCGUAGUUCACAUGGAAACGGUGACGAAAACUCGAAAUUGGAUGCGAGAUUGACAACGGCUUCGAGCUAGGCUUCGAGGGAUAAGUCGGGGAUCUCAAGGGCAUCCGGUUGGAGGCUUUUAUAGGACGCGGGGCGCUCGGGAUAAGGCCGGCGGCGGGUGAGAUUUGAACGGGAUCAAUUUCGCUUAAAAUUCAGACGAGAUAGAGUCCGGGAUGGUUUGAUUCUUGUUGGGAUGGAUUCCUUGCCGUGUGGAUCACGAAUUGGCAAAGAAAUCACGGAGAAAAACGGUUCGGAGGGUAGAAAUGCGAGGUGGAGGCGGCCAUGGACGCCGGUUCGUCCCCGAGCUUGAGCUCAGGGUCGGGCUAGGGCAGAAGGGGCGGGGCAGGAGAGGCGCGGGCUACGGAGGCGAGCGGCAGAGGAGGGCGGGGCUUAGCGGCGGGGCUGCCGGGCGAGCGGAAGCAGCCGCCGGAGCUGGCCAUGGCGCUGCACAGGCCGUGCGUGGGGAAGAAGAAAGAAAGGAGAAAAGAAAAAGGAGAAAAGAAAAAGAGAAAAGAAAGAGAAAAGAAAUGGGCCGUUGGAUGAGAGAUGGAAGGCUGAGAUUAGAAAAUACCUCUUCGGUACACUUAAGUGGAGACGGGUUUCAGUAGAAUACGCCUCCUCGCAGAGAAAACGUAAUCCGUGGAAGAAAUAGAAAAUGAAAUAAAGAAAAUAGCUUUUCUGGGUCUGUAGAUCGCCAAAAAUUCACAUAAGGCAAAUAAAAUACCAAACGGAUUCGGAAAAAUUCCAGAAAUUUUUAGGAAUGCUAAUUAACUGUUUAGAACGCAAGAAAAGUAAUUUUCUCAUGGAAUAAAAUAUUUCAAUGGGUUUUAUAGCACAUGAACCUGAAAUAAAUUCCAAAUAAAUCCAGAAAAAUAUAUCUACGUUCAAAUAAAUUGCCAAAUGGGUAUGUAACCCACUAAAACUUAGGUGUACCAAAUUGAAUGUUCUCCGGCUUUAUAAUUUGGAAAGUCACAUUAUUCCUUCUCAUUAACAAAUAGGCAUGUGUUGAAAAAAAAUCAUAUAAUUGAUUUUAACGCCAAACCAAGAACACGCAGAGUUUUGAAAAUGUUUUCCCAACUAUAGGAUUAGAAAAGUCAUGUUAUUCCCACUCUUGAAUAAAUGUCGGA
This 2355-nucleotide long non-coding RNA is filed under the name Brachypodium distachyon (stiff brome). RNAcentral describes it as "long non-coding RNA (BDIS_LNC000775)". The record is from RNAcentral. Lineage: Eukaryota; Viridiplantae; Streptophyta; Magnoliopsida; Poales; Poaceae.